AGAGUUUGAUCCUGGCUCAGAACGAACGCUGGCGGCGUGCUUAACACAUGCAAGUCGAACGCGAAAGGGACUUCGGUCCCGAGUAGAGUGGCGCACGGGUGAGUAACGCGUAAGUAAUCUACCCUUGCAUCUGGAAUAACCCACCGAAAGGUGAGCUAAUACCGGAUACGUUCAGACUGGUGCGAAUCAGUUUGAAGAAAGGUGGCCUCUUCUUGAAAGCUACUGUGCAGGGACGAGCUUGCGUACCAUUAGCUAGUUGGUAGGGUAAUGGCCUACCAAGGCAAUGACGGGUAGCGGGUUUGAGAGGAUGAUCCGCCACACUGGUACUGAGACACGGACCAGACUCCUACGGGAGGCAGCAGUGAGGAAUAUUGCACAAUGGGGGAAACCCUGAUGCAGCAACGCCGCGUGGAGGAUGACGCAUUUCGGUGUGUAAACUCCUUUUAUAUGUCAAGAAAAUGACGGUAGCAUAUGAAUAAGCACCGGCUAACUCCGUGCCAGCAGCCGCGGUAAUACGGAGGGUGCAAGCGUUACUCGGAAUCACUGGGCGUAAAGGACGCGUAGGCUGGCUGACAAGUCAGAUGUGAAAUCCUAUGGCUUAACCAUAGAACUGCAUUUGAAACUGUUAGUCUAGAGUAUGGGAGGGGGAGAUGGAAUUAGUGGUGUAGGGGUAAAAUCCGUAGAUAUCACUAGGAAUACCUAAAGCGAAGGCGAUCUCCUGGAACAUUACUGACGCUAAGGCGUGAAAGCGUGGGGAGCAAACAGGAUUAGAUACCCUGGUAGUCC
This 786-nucleotide ribosomal RNA is filed under the name uncultured bacterium. RNAcentral describes it as "bacterial SSU rRNA". It matches the Rfam family "Bacterial small subunit ribosomal RNA", at positions 8 to 796 of the family's 1533-position model. The record is from RNAcentral.